GGUAAAGGGGUAUAUAUAGGCAGCACACAAAAUCCAACCGUUACACCUAAAGUGGAAAACUAGGUGGUACUGAUUCACACAAAGGCAGUAACGUUUGAAUAUCGGUGGGAUCGAUAUACACAUCUCGGUGGCACCGAAAACGUGGCUAACUAUCAGAUGGCCAAAAUGGGUGGCACCGGUACUCAAACUUGAAAAUUCCGAUUUUGUGUACCGAGGCAACAAAAAUUUGGUCACCCUCGAUUCGGUUGCACCGAUUUGGUGGGAACGGAUAGGGUU
This 276-nucleotide long non-coding RNA is filed under the name Hordeum vulgare. Its description in RNAcentral is "long non-coding RNA (HVUL_LNC012392)". Lineage: Eukaryota; Viridiplantae; Streptophyta; Magnoliopsida; Poales; Poaceae. The record is from RNAcentral.